RNAcentral lists this ribosomal RNA (253 nucleotides) under uncultured bacterium. RNAcentral describes it as "partial 16S ribosomal RNA". It matches the Rfam family "Bacterial small subunit ribosomal RNA", at positions 524 to 776 of the family's 1533-position model. The record is from RNAcentral.
UACGUAGGGGGCAAGCGUUGUCCGGAAUCAUUGGGCGUAAAGAGCGUGUAGGCGGCCCGGUCAGUCCGCUGUGAAAGUCCAGGGCUCAACCCUGGGAUGCCGGUGGAUACUGUCGGGCUCGAGUCCGGAAGAGGAGUGUGGAAUUCCUGGUGUAGCGGUGAAAUGCGCAGAUAUCAGGAGGAACACCAAUGGCGAAGGCAGCACUCUGGGACGUGACUGACGCUGAGACGCGAAAGCGUGGGGAGCAAACAGG